GUGCCUAACACAUGCAAGUCGAACGAGAAAGCGGGAGCAAUCCCGUGAGUAAAGUGGCGACCGGGUGAGUAACACGUGACUAACCUACCCUCAAGUGGGGAAUAACCUCGGGAAACCGGGGCUAAUUCCGCAUAACAUCGCGAGCUGGAAUGCUUGCGAUCAAAGGAGCAAUUCGCUGGAGGAGGGGGUCGCGGCUGAUUAGCUAGUUGGCAGGUAACGGCCUACCAAGGCGAUGAUCAGUAGCCGGCCUGAGAGGGCGCACGGCCACACUGGAACUGAAACACGGUCCAG
Molecule: ribosomal RNA, 291 nt
Filed under: uncultured bacterium
Lineage: Bacteria
Description: partial 16S ribosomal RNA
Rfam family: Bacterial small subunit ribosomal RNA
Source: RNAcentral